CUUGCAUAUUAAUUGUUUCUAACAUCAGGUUAUUAAUCAUUAUAACCUAAAUUUCACUUCGAAUCGAAAUGUUAUAUCAUUUAGCUCGACGAUAUUUAAGAAAAAGUACAUCGAUGAAAUUUCCCCUUUGUUUGUAAGUAGCACAAAAAAAGGGAAAUUUCCCUAACUUAACAACACUGUAUUUAAAUGUAAACAAAGUCGCAGAAGUGCAGAUAAACAACCAAAUGAAGCAAUUGCAUGCAACUGUUUUGUUCUAUGGCUAAUCACAUAAGCAACCAACAGAUGUGAUAGCCGGCGCAACAGUUGGUUAUUUCAUCAGAGUCUGGAACGUUCUGCAGGGGAUUUGAUAAUAAGGUAUGUUGGUUUUUUUAAG
Molecule: long non-coding RNA, 373 nt
Organism: Bactrocera tryoni
Lineage: Eukaryota; Metazoa; Arthropoda; Insecta; Diptera; Tephritidae
Exons: 3
Source: RefSeq, a predicted model, not a curated record